GUCCAUGCCGUAAACGAUGGAUGCUAGCCGUUGGUGGGUUUACUCAUCAGUGGCGCAGCUAACGCAUUAAGCAUCCCGCCUGGGGAGUACGGUCGCAAGAUUAAAACUCAAAGGAAUUGACGGGGGCCCCGCACAAGCGGUGGAGCAUGUGGUUCAAUUCGAAGCAACGCGCAGAACCUUACCAGCCCUUGACAUGGCAGGACGGUUUCCGGAGACGGAUUCCUUCUCGCAAGAGACUUGCACACAGGUGCUGCAUGGCUGUCGU
Molecule: ribosomal RNA, 265 nt
Filed under: uncultured bacterium
Lineage: Bacteria
Description: partial 16S ribosomal RNA
Rfam family: Bacterial small subunit ribosomal RNA
Source: RNAcentral